GACGAACGCUGGCGGCGUGCUUAACACAUGCAAGUCGAACGGAAAGACCCUGCUUUUGUGGGGUGCUCGAGUGGCGAACGGGUGAGUAACACGUGAGUAACCUGCCCUUGACUUUGGGAUAACUUCAGGAAACUGGGGCUAAUACCGGAUAGGAGCUCCUGCUGCAUGGUGGGGGUUGGAAAGUUUCGGCGGUUGGGGAUGGACUCGCGGCUUAUCAGCUUGUUGGUGGGGUAGUGGCUUACCAAGGCUUUGACGGGUAGCCGGCCUGAGAGGGUGACCGGCCACAUUGGGACUGAGAUACGGCCCAGACUCCUACGGGAGGCAGCAGUGGGGAAUAUUUCACAAUGGGCGGAAGCCUGAUGCAGCAACGCCGCGUGCGGGAUGACGGCCUUCGGGUUGUAAACCGCUUUCGCCUGUGACGAAGCGUGAGUGACGGUAAUGGGUAAAGAAGCACCGGCUAACUACGUG
Molecule: ribosomal RNA, 468 nt
Filed under: uncultured bacterium
Lineage: Bacteria
Description: partial 16S ribosomal RNA
Rfam family: Bacterial small subunit ribosomal RNA
Source: RNAcentral